UACAGAGGUCUCAAGCGUUGUUCGGAUUCAUUGGGCGUAAAGGGUGCGUAGGCGGCGCGGUAAGUCGGGUGUGAAAUCUUGGAGCUUAACUCCGAAACUGCAUUCGAUACUGCCGUGCUUGAGGACUAGAGAGGAGACUGGAAUUUACGGUGUAGCGGUGAAAUGCGUAGAGAUCAUGAGGAAGACCAGUGGCGAAGGCGGGUCUCUGGACAGUUCCUGACACUGAGACACGAAGGCCAGGGGAGCAAACGGG
This 253-nucleotide ribosomal RNA is filed under the name uncultured bacterium. RNAcentral's name for it is "partial 16S ribosomal RNA". It matches the Rfam family "Bacterial small subunit ribosomal RNA", at positions 524 to 776 of the family's 1533-position model. The record is from RNAcentral.